RNAcentral lists this long non-coding RNA (4589 nucleotides) under Sitophilus oryzae (rice weevil). Its description in RNAcentral is "uncharacterized LOC115885487, transcript variant X1". Lineage: Eukaryota; Metazoa; Arthropoda; Insecta; Coleoptera; Curculionidae. The record is from RNAcentral.
UACUGAAAUGUAUAUUAAAAAAUAGACGCUGAUACUUAGAAGUGUUUACUGAUUAUUCUUAAGUAUUUUCUUAUUUACUCGGAAUUUGAUUAAAAGGAAAACAUACAAGAAACGCACGUCAACACUUUUUUAAAUCAGUUUACACUUGAGAUGUAUACAAUCCUCAAAAUAUUUACUUUUCUACAUUUAUUUAUCGACAACCAGCAUGUCGUUCGUUUCGUCCGAAAGUGAAGAUAGUGGCAAUGAGAGUGUUUCAAAAAGUAAAGAGUCGGAUGUAACAUUUGUGGCCAAAUAUUUGAGGGAUAACCCUAUUAUUUUAAAUAAAGGGAAAACUCCGGAGAUAAAUUAAUAAAAAACAAGACGUCUUAGCCACUCUUAAACAACAUUAUGAGAGUAAGUUAUCAUGUCUUAUUAUAAAAUGUUGUAAGCUAACUAUGAAAGCAUUGUAGAUAAAUUUGGAAAACCAACAAACUCCAAAAAAUUAUUAAAAAAAAUAAUAUCCUGAAGGCGGUAGUAAAAAAACUCAUGCCAACAUAACUGGGAAUAAAAAGAAAAAUCUAAGUGCAGCAAACUCAUGUACACGGCACUACAAGGGGAUCAAGAGGAGUGCAAUCCUGUUCUUUUCAAAAUACCUGAUAAAAUAAUUAUAUUUUUAUUACAUAUAAGGUAGCUAGUGUAAUAUUUCGUUUCAGGACAUGUUGCAGUCGGAAUCCUUCUGAUGAACAGUUCAUGGUUCUAUAAUUUUUGUCCGUCAGUCGCUUCAACACUGCCACCAUCGUUACCUGCACGUCCAAAGCGACAAAAAUUAUAGAACAAUACGAAACGGAGGAAACACGUACGUUAAGCACGACGGAGCUACAAAGAUUGGUGCUUUUGAAGUAACUACAUGUUCUAAAUCUUAAAAAGGCAAAACUGGAGAAAGAAUUAAAUAAAGAUCACGUUCUAAGAGAAGGAGAGAAAACUUAUAGUAUGUUGUAAUAAUUAGAUAUAUGUAUUUUCAAUUUAAUAAAAAUUAUGUUAGUUAUUUUGAUUGGCGUAAAUAAUUGUGGCUAAACGGUUACGUAUGACUUGACCUUCCCUUCGAAGUUCAAGUCGUCCAACAGGUGCUUCAUCUUCGAUGUUGUCAUCGUCUAAAGGUAAGCCUUCUUCAAUCUCAAACACUUCUUCAUCUUUUAAAUACUUUCCAAUAUUAUGAAGAACACAACAUGCUAUCAUAAUAGAUGGCACUUUUCUUAAUGGCAGUCUAAUUGUAUUUUGUAAUAAAGGGAAUCGUUGCUUUAAAUGUCCGAAGACGACAAAGUUUCGAUAGUUACAGUAUUAACUUACGAAACCGUAAGUAUUAAGUAUCUACUGAUUUUUAUUAAUACCACUAAAUGAGUGGUAUGAAUAAAAAUGAAGUACAUGCUAAUACUAAAAAUUUAAGGAUCUACUUAGAAGUAUUUUCUUCAUCAUGAAGCAUUUGGUCGGUUCAGGUAGAACUUGCUUGACGUCGGAGUAUUUACUACACUGAUUAAAUUAUUUACUUUUAGUCUACAGUAUAUUCUUCAACAUUUUUGUAGCAUCUUCUCGGCCUAUCUGCUUUGUUUAUUUUUCAAAUCGGUAAUAUUCGUAGAAAGGUUUAAACAGCUAUGCACGUAAAGUUUAGGUUAAUGUUUACAUUUGUGAUAAGGAAUCCCAAAAUAACUCGUUUAAAAUGUAAAAUUCCCCCUUCCGGACACUGCACACUCAAUGUACGUACUGUCUUGAUCAUUUGGUUUUACCAUUGCCUUCAGUAAAAUUGUUGAAGUAGAAGUGGUGUAUUAUCCGACGUUCGGUUAGACAAAAAUGUCUUCAGAUGAAGAAAUGCCUCAAGAAGAAGAGUCCCAAAUGGAAGAUUAUAACAAUAAUACAAAAGUUGGACAGUAAGCAAAUACUAAAAAAAAUAAUAACAUGAAAAGCAAAAUAAAGAAAAUAACGGAUAUGAAAAGAACAGGAACUAAGAAGAUUAAAUUAAAUGAAUGGCAACAAAAAUUUUAUGACCUAUGCAACGGAAAUGAGAAUCCACUAAUACAAAGAGUCCCAGGUGGGGUAAAUGCAGGCACCAGUCGAGAUGCAAAUGCCGAUCGAUUUUUUGAGGAAGAGGAUUUUAGUGACGCCAACCAAUCGAUUGAACAAUAAUUGCAAAAAACUUUAGUUCUGAAACAAAUAAAUGAGGCUAUAGCUCAAGAAAAGGCUGCUAUAGCUCAGGACAAAGCUGCCACAUCUGUGGAAAAAACUGCAGGGGCUUUAGAACCAUUUAUAGUAAAUUACUUUGCACGACACUUUGAUGGUUGAAAAAAAUGGGAAAUUGGUGUAUCUAUUAUUCUCAUUAAACUUUUAGUUGGUUUUCAUAAAAAAAUGUUUGGGGUUUGCGUUUCUAUUCCAAUUACUUUUAAUUUUAAUUAUAUUAUAAGUUUUCCUGGAAAAUAAAAAACAAAAAAUAUUAGAUUAUUUCUUUAUUAUUUCAACGUUGUCUAUACAGGGUUAUCAUUUUAGUUUGGCCCACUUUUAAAAGCUUAUAACUUUUUUAUUCUUUUAAUUAAUUGUUUUUGCAUGCUUUUGUCAAUCUUCAAUGAAAUUAAGAAGAAGAAUGCAAAUAUGUGAUACAUUUCUGAAUUCGGAGAAAAGAGGACUAUCUAAUGCGCUACUAAUAUACAGGGUGUCCCAUUUAAAAAGUUUUUUUUAGUUUUAAAAAUCUGACAUGUAACACCUACUGUCAUUUUUGACAACACUCGCAAAAACUUGUCUGAAACUUCUACAAUAUGUUUUUUGAAUGAAUGCUUUAACACAACAAACAAAAAAGUUAUAAGCUUUUAAAAGUGGGUCAAACUAAAAUGAUAACCCUGUACAUCAAUUCCGCAAUCUCAUUACGAACCUGAAUACCUCGACGUCUUAUAUCAGCGUUAUUUAGUUCAGUUCUUCGACAUCCAUUUCUUCAAACUGUUCAAGUGGAUCAUUCAACGACUUUUACGCACAAUUACGUAAAAUAAAUCCACACAUAAUAUAUCGACAUAUUCUGUUAGUUUUAAGUCGUACUGUAUAGUUUAACAUUGGGAAUCUUCUUUUCAACUGCCCAAAGCAUCUUUCUAUAAUAACACGUUCUUUUGCAUGUAUUUUAUUGAAAUAUUUUUCACUAUUUGUUGUCGGAUUUUGGAACGGUGUGAGCAUCCACGGAGUUACAGCAUAUCCGGAACCACACAAAAGACAUACCCUUUCUGGAUUGUUAUACAUAACAGGAUAAGUGGAAGAAUUGUACCAAAUUCUAGAACUAUGGACAGAUCCAGGCCAUGUUGCAUAUAAGUUGGUAAACAUUUCUCUACUGUCACAUGUGGCUUGUAUAUUUAUUGAGGAGUUUCGUUUACUUCUGUCAGAAAUGUAGUAGCCAGUUUAUACUAGUCGCCAAACAAUGGCCCGGAUGGACGAUAGGAAAAUCGAACAAUUGAUAUUAUUAGUUAGGGAAUAUGAUGAAUUAUUUGAUUAAUUGGAGAAAAUGGUAAGUUAGUUUUAAUAAUAUAGGUAACUAAACUGAAUUUUGUGUUGCAAUUAAAGUCACAUGAAAAUCGUUUUUUAGGAAUUGUAACUAAAUAUCGUGCUAAGAGGUAAAGGUAUAGAAAUAAGCUCGGAAAUAAGAAAUUAUAACCACAGCAAGUUUUUGCUUUAUUAAACAGUCAAUAUUUACAAAACUAGAACAAUACUGUAAGCCGUUUUCAAAAAGAAAAAAAGUAGAUUAAAAAAUAGAAACCAGAAAGCCGACUACAAAGAAGAAAAGAAAUAUAAAGUAAAUCGAUAAAUUACCGUUAAACGUAUAAGAAGUUUGUCAAUAUAUUUUUUUGCGCGUUAUAACUGCGCGUCACUUGUUCAAGUCAAACACCUUAAAUUUUGGAUCAUUUUUAAAAGUUCGUUUCUCAAUAACAAGAGGGCCGAUUUUGCUGAAAUUUGGAUAGGAUUUAAACCUAUCCUCUGGUAUCCUAAUUUUUAAUUGAUGACAAAAUUUAACAUACCUGCUUUAAGAUACAGGGUGAAACACAAACUGCUGUAAUUUUACGAAAACUUUAAGUGAUCCCCAUUUUGCUAUUUUGGUGUCGAAUAACAGAUUUUAAUUAAAUAGGUAUUUCUUUUUAGCCGACACUUGCUAAAAAAAUGGAAAAGCUUAUGGUAUGGCUUUCAACGAGCAAACAAAAACGUAACCAAGAGUAGUCAAGCUGCGAAAAAUAUUAAAAAAUGGGAAACGAUGUCAUUUCUUCAGCCAUAUAUAAAAGGCAGACAACACCAUACAAACAUCGUCGAAGAGCAGGUCACAGAACAAACUGAUGUUGUUACGAGUCAAAAAUUUUAUAAGAAAAUUCAGUAGGCAGUCAUUUUCUACAGUUCCUUAAGAGCAUGAGAUACUCAGCUUGUUUAUGAGCAUACUCACUUGUUUAUCAUUUGGUUCUAUUCAUUAUAUGUAUUUAUAUUUUCAAUAGGGUUUCUUUGAUAUAUUUUGUACUUCUAGCUGUUAAAAAGAAAUAAAAUAUGAGUUACUUUCUAUAAAUUUAAUUAUUGUUAUUAUGAAAUAAAUUUUUAUUUGAAAA